Molecule: ribosomal RNA, 446 nt
Filed under: uncultured bacterium
Lineage: Bacteria
Description: bacterial SSU rRNA
Rfam family: Bacterial small subunit ribosomal RNA
Source: RNAcentral
ACUCCUACGGGAGGCAGCAGUGGGGAAUAUUGGACAAUGGGGGCGAACCCUGAUCCAGCCAUGCCGCGUGAGUGAUGAAGGCCUUAGGGUUGUAAAGCUCUUUCAGCGAGGAGGAUAAUGACGUUACUCGCAGAAGAAGCCCCGGCUAACUUCGUGCCAGCAGCCGCGGUAAUACGAAGGGGCUAGCGUUGUUCGGAAUCACUGGGCGUAAAGCGCACGUAGGCGGAUUGAUAAGUUAGGGUGAAAUCCCGGGCUCAACCUCGGAACUGCCUUUGAUACUGUCAGUCUUGAGUCCGAGAGAGGUGAGUGGAACUCCGAGUGUAGAGGUGAAAUUCGUAGAUAUUCGGAAGAACACCAGUGGCGAAGGCGGCUCACUGGCUCGGUACUGACGCUGAGGUGCGAAAGGCUGGGGAGCAAACAGGAUUAGAUACCCUGGUAGACUGUCA